Molecule: ribosomal RNA, 441 nt
Filed under: uncultured bacterium
Lineage: Bacteria
Description: partial 16S ribosomal RNA
Rfam family: Bacterial small subunit ribosomal RNA
Source: RNAcentral
CCUACGGGAGGCAGCAGUGGGGAAUAUUGCACAAUGGGGGAAACCCUGAUGCAGCGACGCCGCGUGAGUGAAGAAGUAUUUCGGUAUGUAAAGCUCUAUCAGCAGGGAAGAAGAAAGACGGUACCUGAGUAAGAAGCCCCGGCGAACUACGUGCCAGCAGCCGCGGUAAUACGUAGGGGGCAAGCGUGAUCCGGAUUGACUGGGUGUAAAGGGAGCGUAGACGGCAGUGCAAGUCUGGAGUGAAAGGCGGGGGCUCAACCCCCGUACUGCUCUGGAAACUGUACGGCUGGAGUGCAGGAGAGGUAAGUGGAAUUCCUGGUGUAGCGGUGAAAUGCGUAGAUAUUAGGAGGAACACCAGUGGCGAAGGCGGCUUACUGGACUGUAACUGACGUUGAGGCUCGAAAGCGUGGGGAGCAAACAGGAUUAGAUACCCUGGUAGUC